RNAcentral lists this ribosomal RNA (275 nucleotides) under uncultured bacterium. RNAcentral describes it as "partial 16S ribosomal RNA". It matches the Rfam family "Bacterial small subunit ribosomal RNA", at positions 523 to 797 of the family's 1533-position model. The record is from RNAcentral.
AUACAGGGGGUGCGAGCGUUAAUCGGAAUUACUGGGCGUAAAGAGUACGUAGGCGGUUGCUUAAGUCAGAUGUGAAAGCCCCGGGCUCAACCUGGGAACUGCAUUUGAAACUGAGUGACUAGAGUUUAAGAGAGGGGAGUAGAAUUCCGGGUGUAGCGGUGAAAUGCGCAGAGAUCCGGAGGAAUACCAGUGGCGAAGGCGGCUCCCUGGCUUAAAAAUGACGCUGAGGUACGAAAGCGUGGGUAGCAAACAGGAUUAGAAACCCUAGUAGUCCC